GACAAAUUUGCCGCAAUUACCAUGACGACAUAACAUGUGGGACCAAUCGGCUCGCCCAUAUAGCUGAGGCGAUGAGCAAUACUUAAUUAAUGGAAAAUUGUAAUGCAACUAGACCAGUUUGAUGUGUAACAACUAACAUUCUAGCUUUAUAACGAAAAUACACACAAAUUCUCUACCUAAAAUCAAUUUGAAAUACAAGAGCAAAGUACUACAUUUUGUCAUA
This is a long non-coding RNA of Strongylocentrotus purpuratus (purple sea urchin), 223 nucleotides long. RefSeq lists it as uncharacterized. The record is from RefSeq and is a predicted model, not a curated record. The transcript has 2 exons. Lineage: Eukaryota; Metazoa; Echinodermata; Echinoidea; Camarodonta; Strongylocentrotidae.